Molecule: long non-coding RNA, 1103 nt
Organism: Rosa chinensis
Lineage: Eukaryota; Viridiplantae; Streptophyta; Magnoliopsida; Rosales; Rosaceae
Exons: 2
Source: RefSeq, a predicted model, not a curated record
GUUGUCAUGGUUUGAAUUUUGAAUAUUAUGUAUGGGUUUCUCUUCUUGGAAGGUAUUAAUUUAAUUACUAUUCCUGGAGAUGAUUGAAGGUCCUCUUUGUUUUCCAGCUUGGAGACACCAGUUCGUUAUUUAGUCGUUUAUAUGAACUUAUAAGUCUUGGAUAUACUUUAUUAUUUGCUUACCAAUUUCAUGAUGCAGUAUCUCAGGUCCUGGUACAUUUAGAUUUUGUAGAACUACAUGGAACUAAUGAUAUGCAACAGGUGAUGCCAAGGAUACAUUGAAGUUACCAAAACUUUGUAGCUCAUCUGGGAAAGUUUAUCUAGUAAUUGGAAUCGACCGUUCUUGAAAGAUGUAGUCAUGCCAAUCUAUUAUCUCUUUAAGAGUUUGUACGUGUAAAUUAUAUGUAAAUGGGUCAGUAAAAGCCUGAGAGGGAUGCAAUAAUCUCUGGGAAGCAGGUAUGUAUAUCCAGGUAAAUUCCUUCCCUUAGAUUUACACCACAUUUACAGUUGUAGGUAUGUUUUCCUUUUCAUUUAGAUUCUUGAAUUCUAUCCAUAUACCUUGUUGGGGCUUUUGUGUUUGCAUAGAUGAUCAGGCUUUAUGAAUUAGCCGACUUCUUUUCACUUGCACAAUUAACUGAGCAUGGUCUAUCUAUGUUUGAAAUUUUCAAGUCAUGGUGACUUUAUUGAAAGGAAAUUAAGGAUGACAGAAUGUGAUAUGAAUGAAAGGCAGCAAGUUAAUUGUUUACUGAGUUGAAUCUGGUUAGGCCUGGGAAAAAUUAAGUAGGGAUUGUGUCUCCCUUGGGUGAAAGACCCUAAACCUGAGUGGGGCUCGUGGAUUCGAGCGGAUAAUUAAGUAGGGAUUGUGCCUCCCUAGGGUGAAAGACCCAAAACCCAAUUGGGAAUCUGCUUAGUACGGGGUGUCCUCGGUGGCCUUAAUCUGAGGUUCCGCUUAGUACGGGAUUCUCGAUGACCUUAAUUCGAGAGAUUUUGGGCCUAACCAGGGGGAAGAGGAAAUAAAAUUGUUACUUGACAAAUUUGAAAGGAAUAUGGUGAAUAAAUGUUAUAAAUGCAGACUUGGGGAAUUCAUUUGCUUAUUUGCUGAUC